UACGGAAGGUCCGGGCGUUAUCCGGAUUUAUUGGGUUUAAAGGGUGCGUAGGCGGGCUUUUAAGUCAGCGGUAAAAAUUCGGGGCUCAACCCCGUCGUGCCGUUGAAACUGAUGUUCUUGAGUGGGCGAGAAGUAUGCGGAAUGCGUGGUGUAGCGGUGAAAUGCAUAGAUAUCACGCAGAACUCCGAUUGCGAAGGCAGCUUACCAGUCUGCGACUGACGCUCAGGCACGAAAGUGUGGGUAUCGAACAGG
RNAcentral lists this ribosomal RNA (252 nucleotides) under uncultured Bacteroidales bacterium. RNAcentral describes it as "partial 16S ribosomal RNA". It matches the Rfam family "Bacterial small subunit ribosomal RNA", at positions 524 to 776 of the family's 1533-position model. Lineage: Bacteria; Pseudomonadati; Bacteroidota; Bacteroidia; Bacteroidales. The record is from RNAcentral.